This 453-nucleotide ribosomal RNA is filed under the name uncultured Alphaproteobacteria bacterium. Its description in RNAcentral is "partial 16S ribosomal RNA". The record is from RNAcentral. Lineage: Bacteria; Pseudomonadati; Pseudomonadota; Alphaproteobacteria.
CACGAAGUUAGCCGGGGCUUAUUUUCCGACUACAGUCAUUAUAAUCAUCGGCUAAAGAGCUUUACAACCCGAAGGCCUUCAUCACUCACGCGGCAUGGCUGGAUCAGGCUUGCGCCCAUUGUCCAAUAUUCCUAACUGCUGCCUCCCGUAGGAGUCUGGGCCGUGUCUCAGUCCCAGUGUGGCUGAUCGUCCUCUCAGACCAGCUAUAGAUCGUCGCCUUGGUGAGCUCUUACCUCACCAACUAGCUAAUCUAGUGCGGGCUAAUCUUUUGGCGAUAAAUCUUUACCCCGGAGGGACCAUACGGUAUUAGCUUUCGUUUCCAAAAGUUGUUCCGUACCAAAAGGCAUAUUCCCACAUGUUACUCACCCGUGCGCCACUCUGUAUUGCUACAGCGUUCGACUUGCAUGUUUUAGGCCUGCCGCCAGCGUUCAUUCUGAGCCAGGAUCAAACUCU